This 101-nucleotide small nuclear RNA is filed under the name Erinaceus europaeus (western European hedgehog). RNAcentral's name for it is "7SK RNA". It matches the Rfam family "7SK RNA", at positions 3 to 106 of the family's 331-position model. From Rfam's summary of the family: 7SK was discovered as an abundant small nuclear RNA in the mid-70s but a possible function has only recently been suggested. Two independent studies have found that 7SK RNA binds the CDK9/cyclin T complex (known as elongation factor P-TEFb). Lineage: Eukaryota; Metazoa; Chordata; Mammalia; Eulipotyphla; Erinaceidae. The record is from Rfam by way of RNAcentral.
AUGUAAGGGCAAUCUGGCUGUGACAUCUGUCAUUCCAUUGAUGACAAGGUUUGAUUUGGCUGAUAUGUCUGGCUAGGCGGGUGUCUCCUUCCCUCAUUGCU